This 89-nucleotide ribosomal RNA is filed under the name Enterobacter sp. RNAcentral also lists the same sequence under 3 other names. The record is from RNAcentral. Lineage: Bacteria; Pseudomonadati; Pseudomonadota; Gammaproteobacteria; Enterobacterales; Enterobacteriaceae.
CCUGACCCCAUGCCGAACUCAGAAGUGAAACGCCGUAGCGCCGAUGGUAGUGUGGGGUCUCCCCAUGUGAGAGUAGGGAACUGCCAGAC